RNAcentral lists this ribosomal RNA (587 nucleotides) under Pseudomonas aeruginosa. RNAcentral's name for it is "bacterial SSU rRNA". It matches the Rfam family "Bacterial small subunit ribosomal RNA", at positions 125 to 707 of the family's 1533-position model. The record is from RNAcentral. Lineage: Bacteria; Pseudomonadati; Pseudomonadota; Gammaproteobacteria; Pseudomonadales; Pseudomonadaceae.
UCUGCCUGGUAGUGGGGGAUAACGUCCGGAAACGGGCGCUAAUACCGCAUACGUCCUGAGGGAGAAAGUGGGGGAUCUUCGGACCUCACGCUAUCAGAUGAGCCUAGGUCGGAUUAGCUAGUUGGUGGGGUAAAGGCCUACCAAGGCGACGAUCCGUAACUGGUCUGAGAGGAUGAUCAGUCACACUGGAACUGAGACACGGUCCAGACUCCUACGGGAGGCAGCAGUGGGGAAUAUUGGACAAUGGGCGAAAGCCUGAUCCAGCCAUGCCGCGUGUGUGAAGAAGGUCUUCGGAUUGUAAAGCACUUUAAGUUGGGAGGAAGGGCAGUAAGUUAAUACCUUGCUGUUUUGACGUUACCAACAGAAUAAGCACCGGCUAACUUCGUGCCAGCAGCCGCGGUAAUACGAAGGGUGCAAGCGUUAAUCGGAAUUACUGGGCGUAAAGCGCGCGUAGGUGGUUCAGCAAGUUGGAUGUGAAAUCCCCGGGCUCAACCUGGGAACUGCAUCCAAAACUACUGAGCUAGAGUACGGUAGAGGGUGGUGGAAUUUCCUGUGUAGCGGUGAAAUGCGUAGAUAUAGGAAGGAAC